Molecule: ribosomal RNA, 421 nt
Filed under: uncultured microorganism
Description: bacterial SSU rRNA
Rfam family: Bacterial small subunit ribosomal RNA
Source: RNAcentral
GAGUUUGAUCUUGGCUCAGAUUGAACGCUGGCGGCAUGCCUUGCACAUGCAAGUCGAACGGCAGCAUGAUCUAGCUUGCUAGAUUGAUGGCGAGUGGCGAACGGGUGAGUAAUACAUCGGAACGUGCCCUGUAGUGGGGGAUAACUAGUCGAAAGAUUAGCUAAUACCGCAUACGACCUGAGGGUGAAAGUGGGGGACCGCAAGGCCUCAUGCUAUAGGAGCGGCCGAUGUCUGGUUAGCUAGUUGGUGGGGUAAAGGCCCACCAAGGCGACGAUCAGUAGCUGGUCUGAGAGGACGAUCAGCCACACUGGGACUGAGACACGGCCCAGACUCCUACGGGAGGCAGCAGUGGGGAAUUUUGGACAAUGGGCGAAAGCCUGAUCCAGCAAUGCCGCGUGUGUGAAGAAGGCCUCGGUGUAAG